This 82-nucleotide transfer RNA is filed under the name Phakopsora pachyrhizi. RNAcentral describes it as "tRNA-Lys". It matches the Rfam family "tRNA". Rfam says of the family: Transfer RNA (tRNA) molecules are approximately 80 nucleotides in length. Lineage: Eukaryota; Fungi; Basidiomycota; Pucciniomycetes; Pucciniales; Phakopsoraceae. The record is from RNAcentral.
GCCCGGUUAGCUCAGUCGGUAGAGCGUUCGGCUUUUAUCAGAGAGCACCGAAAUGUCGGGGGUUCGAGCCCCCCAUUGGGCG